UAAGGAAUAUUGGUCAAUGGACGCAAGUCUGAACCAGCCACGCCGCGUGCAGGAAGACGGCCCUAUGGGUUGUAAACUGCUUUUGUUUGGGAAGAAACCCCUUUGCGAAAGGACUGACGGUACCAGACGAAUAAGCACCGGCUAACUCCGUGCCAGCAGCCGCGGUAAUACGGAGGGUGCAAGCGUUAUCCGGAAUUAUUGGGUUUAAAGGGUGCGUAGGCGGCCAAAUAAGUCAGGGUGAAAGGCGUCAGCUCAACUGUCGCAGUGCCUUUGAUACUGUUUGGCUUGAAUGUGGUUGAAGAUGGCGGAAUGAGACAAGUAGCGGUGAAAUGCAUAGAUAUGUCUCAGAACCCGAUUGCGAAGGCAGCUAUCUAAGCCGUUAUUGACGCUGAUGCACGAAAGCGUGGGUAGCAAACA
RNAcentral lists this ribosomal RNA (417 nucleotides) under uncultured Bacteroidota bacterium. Its description in RNAcentral is "bacterial SSU rRNA". It matches the Rfam family "Bacterial small subunit ribosomal RNA", at positions 355 to 774 of the family's 1533-position model. The record is from RNAcentral. Lineage: Bacteria; Pseudomonadati; Bacteroidota.